ACUCCGGAUCAUAACUAGCCUUUUGACGUCCUUCAAUGUCUGCACCCCCAAGAAUCUGCUAGGCUCCCUCGGCGUGGAGGUGACAGGUGAGCCUCCGGACCAGACUCACCUGCCGCAAGUCACUGCGGCUCGUCGGCCCCUCCCCCGUGCGCCUGCCCUGGGGUUCAGAUUACCUGCGCGGACUCUCUCCCCGAGAGGUAGAAGCCCUAGGGGACCGGGAGGGGCACCCUGCCGCACCCGAGACUUCUAGGGCGAGUUCGCAGGUGUGGGCUCCGCAGUACCUCCUCUCCCAGCGCAGACCGAGGCGAAGCUGGGCUUCGGGGAAGGAAGCAUUUCUCCCUCGCUGCCCCCCGCGGCUGUGUAGAGCCCCAAGACUUAAAGAUGGGGGGCAAUGCCUGUUCACGCUCGUUGCUGCACAACCCCUCACGCAGAUUUCCGGGAAGUUACUGUGGCCUUCAAGACUUGACUGGAGGAGACAUGAGAUAAAUAAGCAGAAGAACAAAUAAAAGUGCCUGAGAUCAGGACUGUGAGGAACGUAAGACAGCACCCUGAGAUUGAGUAGCUGUCCUGAAGGAGAGAGUGGCAGGGACGUCACUGGCCUACUUUACAUGAGAUGGCCAAGGAGGACCCCUCAAGAAAUGGAAUUUGGGCUGAGACAUAAAGAAAAAAAAGGGCUGGCAUUGCUAUCCACUCUAGAAGGAAGAUGGGAACAGUGGAAGGAUGGAGCUGAGAGCGUUUAGAGAGUAGGGGAAAAGGAGAUUGAGAUGAGAGUACACAAUGGGCAGGGCCUGGAGGCAAGAAACCUCCUGAGCUAAAAAUAGAGUCAGUGAAAACACUGUACCAGUGGUGGCUAUUGUACUUGCAUUUUUUUUUUUUAGAGAAUUUUGUUGAUUAAUCAUUCAACCACAGUAACCCAAAUUUCAUAUUCUCUGCACCUGCUCUAAGAAGAAACAAAAUAAAAACAAGUUGUGUUCAAUGUUGGUAAGUUCCUGUCUAAGCGCCUGAGGCUGAAAUGAGAGUUGACCGUUCUACCCCACGAGGCCUGAACUCUGACGUUGCAAGUGGGGUGAGAUAUUGGGUUGAAAAUUGUCUCUCCUGGAAUGUAUACAACAGGGGAUCAAAGAACUCUGUGGUUAAGCAAUCUAGACUUCUGUCUAUCCCCAGGCUGGGCCUCAUGCUCACCAAGAUAAUAGCAUUUUCUCAAAUGCAGCUACCUCCAUAGCACUCUACAUCCCCAAACCCCUAGGCUGACCGGUACCCAUUCUCCCUGAGGGUUUCUGGCCAUCUUGUAAAGUGAACAGUGGUAGAGUGGAGUGAUAACUUGAUGUCCCUUGUGUUUGCCAAUCAUGUGAUGCUAGAGUUGUCUCUUCUCCAUGCUGGGCCUGGUGUCUCAGCCUUUCGGGUAAUGCUGAUGCUCUCUGUCACAACAGAGAUGUUCAAGGAAAAUCUAUGUGCAGGAGCAUCCUGUAAAUCCUAAAGGCCAUGUGCACACUGGGCAUGAUUCACAGCCCAUGAUGACUUUGUGUAAGGAGUAGGAGAGCCUCCUGCUGUGGGCCUCUUUUGUAACAAAUCUCCACACACUCCUGAUGUUUGUGUGUCCCCAGCCAGCGUGUUAAGUCCAAAGGACAUGAGUCCUACUCAUUAUCACGGAAGAGGCCAGGCCCUGCUGCCUCCAAGUCUGGUUUUCACAAUGAAUCAAACAGAGUCGAAGGAGGGGUAGAGUACUCCCAUCCUGUGUGUGUUUGCUUGGCCUGUAACUAGCAAAUCUGAGUGACCAGCUUAUUUUGAUUUGCUAGGAACUUGAAUGGUUUUAGUCCUGAACACUUCUGGCCAAAGCUAAUGGCAAUAGUGGUCAUCCGACCUGGGUGCCUCCCUGUCUUGGUCAUUGCCCUCCACCCUGAACAAAGAGCUGACAUGAGAACUGGGUUAGGUAUGUUACAGCGAUGGAAAAGAGUGGGUACAGAAAGCAGGGAAUAUUGAGUUUUCAGAGAUGCUGCUUUUAACAGAGACUAGGGCAGACAGUCAUCCGAUCAAAGAGACUAUUAGAUGAACACUUAUUCUGUUUUUGUUCAUUUGUUUUAAGUUUCAUUCCCUGGGAUAGGUGAUACCCACAGUACUCACCUCACCUUUGAGAGCUAUUCACCUGUAGCUCUGUUCCCAGCCUGCCAGACUUUGGCUACGAAAUCAAUGUAGGAGUGUUACACAUUGACACAGUCCAGAUUAAGGAGAGAUGUACCAGAGGCUGCCUAAUCAUGAGAUUUUUUUUCUUUCUUUCUGUUUCAUUUUUUCUUAGAUAACUAGGCCAGACUCUUUCCAACAGGAAGGGCAUGAGUUACUGUGCAGAUGGACAGAGACAAGAAGGGGGGCCCCUGAGCAGAAGCUAGAGCUGCACCUGCAGCCUGGGACCUCAAGCCAUUCCACCUACUGCUCACACAUUUCUCUUGCUAUCAGGCUGUCUAGGAGAGAGAAGAGAUGGAGCUGGUCCUCUAUCAGGCCCACUGCUUCAGGGGGCCCUGUGAUCAUAUUGUUGAUGUUGCCGGAAAUGUGAUUUGUGCUCAGGAGUCUGAGAUUGUAGCUGGGCUCCCUCAGGAGCCUCAUGAAAGAUGCAUUUCACCAGGCGGUUCCAGGGGAGAGACUGGCUUAAAUUACAGCUCUAGGAAUCCAAAUAUUGGCAUAUCUGCACAUCCAAAUGUGAGUGGGGGGGGGGACCCUAAAUUCUAAGAAUCUUAUUCUGCAUUUCUUGUGUGCAAAAGGGAUGAUGGGACUCAGAAAGGGUAGAUUCAGAGGCUUCAGAAGAGAACACCCCAACUCUUCCACCCUUUUCUCUCUCUCCCCCAUGCAUUCUGCAUGCCUUCAAAGAAACAGGCUGUGACACAGAGGAGAAGGUAGCAUUUGUUCAGUGUGACAGUUUUUAGUACAGGUGGGACAGGGUAUGCAGCAUGUGGGACACAGGAGGGCUCAGCCAUCUCUGUCUGCCCCUCCCUGUACAGUUUUCUGGAUCUAGGAUGAAGGUUUCUCAUGGAUCAGUAACGGCGCUACGGUCAUUCACAACCCAGCAGGGUGAGGGAUCCUGCACCGCUGUGAGAGAAACCAUGUUAUUUCUCUGCUCAAAAUCCUCAUCUGCCUUAGAGAGGGGUGGGGUGUUCCUACGGUAGACUCCAAGGUCAUCUCACUAGUUUUCUUCUCAUUACAAGACAAGAUGGCCCUUCAUUACUCCCUUCCCCCAUGGCAAGUCCACAUCUCCCUCAGAAUCUAAACUUUUCUCAUUCCUUCUGCAUGGAGUACUUACUUGUCCCUGCAAAGCUUAUCAGACUCUGUUCAGUCUUCACCAAGAUACCAGCUUCCAGAUACAUAUUCCCUGACAAUAUUAUUUUAAAAUCCCUAGAAUUUCCCAUACAUGCUCUUGUGUACAGCAGUGACUUAGAUGUGGACCCAAGGGGUCUGUGGCUUGGUAUUGAAGAGAUGGUAUCUUUAAAUAGUGAAACUUCCUGGAAGAUGGUUAGAUCAUUGGUGGCACUUCCAGUGGAAGGAAUUGUGAUAAUUCUAGAUUCCUGAUUUGUUCCCAAGAGAGUGAGUUGUUAUAAGAGCAAGCCUGAUUGGCUUCCUGUCUGAUCAUGUGACCUCUCCGCUACACAUGCUACAGCUAUAGUGGUGGCAUCCAUUACGAGGCAUGAAUCAAGCAGAAGCUGGUACCAUGGUCUUUAUCCUGUAAAAUGGAGUAAAUAAACCUUUUUCUUUGUAAGUAUCCAGCCUCAGAUGUUUUGUUACAGCCAUGGAAAUAGAUGAUUAUAACCCAUUUCUGUUCUGUUAUAUAUUACUUAAACUACGUAUUUAUUCCCUUUUCUUAUUUUGUAUAUGUUAGUAACUUGAUUUGGUUGUCAUAGCUCAUAUAUUAUAAGCUCUGAAUUAUAGUUGAUUGAAUAAUAGACAGUAUCUUUAUGGGGCAUCUCUAUCUCUCUUCACAGUAUAAUUUCUCUUCAAUUUACAGGGGGACUGUCAAGCUCUAAAAGUUAAGUAGCUGCCUAUAUUGUAACCAGCACAAUAAUCCAGAAAUAUGGGCUUCAGACAGGUCUUUGAACUGGACUUGGGUGCAUCAAGAAAUAUAACCUUGUGCUACCUUGCAUGGUAUCUACCAGUC
RNAcentral lists this long non-coding RNA (4138 nucleotides) under Mus caroli (Ryukyu mouse). Its description in RNAcentral is "RIKEN cDNA 9930014A18 gene (MGP_CAROLIEiJ_G0013429.1)". Lineage: Eukaryota; Metazoa; Chordata; Mammalia; Rodentia; Muridae. The record is from RNAcentral.